This 490-nucleotide long non-coding RNA is filed under the name Rattus norvegicus (Norway rat). Its description in RNAcentral is "long non-coding RNA NONRATT027568". Lineage: Eukaryota; Metazoa; Chordata; Mammalia; Rodentia; Muridae. The record is from RNAcentral.
GUGUAAAUACUUUGGAUAUCCCAAGAAAUGUAAGUCGCUGCAAAACCACUGUAGAGCUACAAAAAACCAGAAGUGUGUCCUAAUGACAGCCUCUUCAGGUGGAAAUAUUAAUUUUGGAUAUCAGAAAUGUUCUAAUUUUUGCUUAAACGCUACAAUUGCCAAGAAAAAGAGAAUUGUAAAAUAUGCAUGUUGCAAUUCACAUUCUUUCUGUAAUGCACUUUAAAGGCCUGGACCUUGCUUUUCCUGUUGUACUUAGAGCUGCUCAUUGAGUCAUAAUCCUGAAGCAUAUCAUCAAAAUUUAUUCUACUGAACCACAUCUCCAGUCUCAUACCCUGGUUUCUGUAUAACAUUUCUUAGAUACUGUUCCUAACCUACACGUAUACUUUUAUUUUACGCUGGGUACUCUGAAAUGCAUUGUAUGCCAUAUGAAAUUAAUUUCACUUUUCAAUGUUUUCUUAGAUUAUGUUUGAUUAAAUUUACUUUUCACUUU